UAUUAAGUUUGAUUUUGGUUUUGGAUGUAUUAAGAUAGUAUUACUUAUUUUUAGUUUAUUUAGUGUGUAAUUUUUUGUUCACUGGUAGUUUUUUGAUUGUUUUAUUAGUGUUCCAGAAUAAUCGGCUAUACAUUUUAAUUUUUAACUCUAUUUGUUGUAAUGCUCUUUUUUAUUUUUUAUUUUUUAUUUUAUUUUUUGUAAAAUAUUUUAAUUUUAGUUUUAUUUAUUAAGAGAGUUUUAAAAAUUUGUUUUUUGAACUGGAUUAGUACCCAGGUAAACAAAAUUUAUUAAUUCGGGAGUAAAGUUUUUUUUAAACCGAAAAAAUAUUGACUGACUUUGGAUUUUUCUUUGGAACAUGUGAUUGGAGAGCCCUCCUUUUUAGUUAUUUUUAUUGGCUCAUGUAUGAUUGUUUAAUUUUUAUUAUAUUUGUAAUGUUUUUUAUUUUGUUAGUAUUAAAAACAGAUAUAUACUUGGCUUAUGAACUAAUUUUUCAUGUGUUACUAUUAUUAAUUUUUUUCGGAUUAUUUUUUUAAUUUUAAUUUGAAGUUGGAAAAGAAAGUAAUUUUUUUUUUAUGUUAUAAUGAAUUUAAUAAACAGAGUGGUACAAACCAUCCGUCAAUGGCCUAAAGGGGCGUAAGUUGUAGUAUGGUAGAGGUAAGGAAACUUGUUUCUAUGUUUU
Molecule: non-coding RNA, 679 nt
Filed under: Setaria labiatopapillosa
Lineage: Eukaryota; Metazoa; Nematoda; Chromadorea; Rhabditida; Setariidae
Source: RNAcentral